Molecule: long non-coding RNA, 427 nt
Filed under: Bos taurus (domestic cattle)
Lineage: Eukaryota; Metazoa; Chordata; Mammalia; Artiodactyla; Bovidae
Description: long non-coding RNA NONBTAT022685
Source: RNAcentral
GUGAUUUGAUCUUCACCUUAUUUAUUAAGAAGAAUCAUUGUUUUAAGUAACAUUUAACUCUUUAGUCCUGUUGCUUAAGGUGAACAUACAAUGAUGAUUUCAAAGUUAUUUCUUGUUUUAAAAUGUUUGAUGUGUUAUAUAUAAUCAAGUGAUUAUUUCUUUGGUCAUUAUUUCUUAAACCUGGAUAAUGCUACAUACUGUGUUAAAAUGUAGCUUAUCUUUUAUUGUAAGUUUUGAACUUUAUUUUUAAGUUAGAUGUUUGUUUGUAGAAUGAAGAGAAUAUUUUAGUGUUUCAUUUGCCACAGAAUUGAAAGCUUUGAAGUUUUAUCAACUAAAAUUAUUUUAAUGAGAACAAAAAUUAAUUUUGUCCUGAGAAAAGUUAUGUACAUGUGGAAAAUUUUCUAAUUGCACUUCAAAGUCCCUUUGC